Molecule: ribosomal RNA, 283 nt
Filed under: uncultured Staphylococcus sp.
Lineage: Bacteria; Bacillati; Bacillota; Bacilli; Caryophanales; Staphylococcaceae
Description: partial 16S ribosomal RNA
Rfam family: Bacterial small subunit ribosomal RNA
Source: RNAcentral
CUCCUUUGACGUUAGCGGCGGACGGGUGAGUAACACGUGGGUAACCUACCUAUAAGACUGGGAUAACUUCGGGAAACCGGAGCUAAUACCGGAUAAUAUUUCGAACCGCAUGGUUCGAUAGUGAAAGGUGGUUUUGCUAUCACUUAUAGAUGGACCCGCGCCGUAUUAGCUAGUUGGUAAGGUAACGGCUUACCAAGGCGACGAUACGUAGCCGACCUGAGAGGGUGAUCGGCCACACUGGAACUGAGACGACGGUCCAGACUCCGUACGGGAGGCAGCAGCU